This 467-nucleotide ribosomal RNA is filed under the name uncultured bacterium. Its description in RNAcentral is "partial 16S ribosomal RNA". It matches the Rfam family "Bacterial small subunit ribosomal RNA", at positions 28 to 506 of the family's 1533-position model. The record is from RNAcentral.
GACGAACGCUGGCGGCGUGCUUAACACAUGCAAGUCGAACGGAAAGGCCCUGCUUUUGUGGGGUGCUCGAGUGGCGAACGGGUGAGUAACACGUGAGUAACCUGCCCUUGACUUUGGUAUAACUUCAGGAAACUGGGGCUAAUACCGGAUAGGAGCUCCUGCUGCAUGGUGGGGGUUGGAAAGUUUCGGCGGUUGGGGAUGGACUCGCGGCUUAUCAGCUUGUUGGUGGGGUAGUGGCUUACCAAGGCUUUGACGGGUAGCCGGCCUGAGAGGGUGACCGGCCACAUUGGGACUGAGAUACGGCACAGACUCCUACGGGAGGGAGCAGUGGGGAAUAUUGCACAAGGGGCGGAAGCGAGAUGCAGAAACGCCGCGUGCGGGAAGACGGCCUUCGGGUUGUAAACCGCUUUCGCCUGUGACGAAGCGUGAGUGACGGUAAUGGGUAAAGAAGCACCGGCUAACUACGU